AGUGUUACUGUGAUAAGAUCUGGAACAAAUGAUGGAAAACCUUCUGGUGUGGUAAAAAUUGUGGAUUUUGGCAAAGUUAUUGAAGAUAAGAAGAAUAAUGUGGUGGAACCCGUAAAAGGUAAAAAGAAAAAAACUGUGAAGUAAGAACAAACGGAAAGAAAGAAGUUGAUUCCGAUUCUUCAAGUUCAUCUGCUGGUGGUAACAGGAGGAAGAAGAGAUCAACAAAGAAAGAAGUCAAACAGCGUAAGAACAAACGGAAAGAAAAGAGACGGUUGUCUGGCAAAAGAUCAAAAAGAAGGAGCUUUGGGAGUUCAAAUGAAACAGAAAGUGGAAGUAGCAGUUCUGAUGAUGGAAAAGCAAAUUGACGUGUUGCAAAGGCCAAAAAUAGACCUCCAAUGAGGAAAAGUUUACCAGAUCUGUCACGAAAGGAACCUGAAUCAAAGGUGAAAAUUAAGGAUCAAAAUUCAAAGAAAACAACCUUAGAAGAGCAAGAACUUGUUAAAAAUGGGGUUGUGAAGGACAAGGAGAAGGAAAAAGAGCUUCAAUUACUUACUGCAUAACCUACAUUCUGAGUUGCA
This is a non-coding RNA of Lactuca sativa (garden lettuce), 578 nucleotides long. The record is from RefSeq and is a predicted model, not a curated record. Lineage: Eukaryota; Viridiplantae; Streptophyta; Magnoliopsida; Asterales; Asteraceae.